This 718-nucleotide ribosomal RNA is filed under the name uncultured archaeon. Its description in RNAcentral is "bacterial SSU rRNA". It matches the Rfam family "Archaeal small subunit ribosomal RNA", at positions 53 to 778 of the family's 1478-position model. The record is from RNAcentral.
GCGAGUCAUUGUAGCAAUACAAGGCGGACGGCUCAGUAACACGUAGUCAACCUAACUCGUGGACGUGGAUAACCUCGGGAAACUGAGAAUAAACCACGAUAGAUCAUAGUGCCUGGAAUGGCUUAUGGUCCAAACAGUUUACUGCCAUGGGAUGGGACUGCGGCCUAUCAGCUUGUUGGUGAGGUAAUGGCCCACCAAGGCGAUUACAGGUACGGGCUCUGAGAGGAGAAGCCCGGAGAUGGGUACUGAGACACGGACCCAGGCCCUAUGGGGCGCAGCAGGCGAGAAACCUUAGCAAUGUGCGAAAGCACGACUGGGUCAGUCCGAGUGAUUCCUGAUAAAGGAGUCUUUUGCUUGUCCUAAAAGCACAGGUGAAUAAGGGGUGGGCAAGUCUGGUGUCAGCCGCCGCGGUAAUACCAGCACCUCGAGUGGUCAGGACGUUUAUUGGGCCUAAAGCAUCCGUAGCCGGCUCUGCAAGUCUUCGGUUAAAUCCACCUGCUCAACAGAUGGGCUGCUGGAGAUACUACAGAGCUAGGGAGUGGGAGAGGCAGACGGUAUUCAGUGGGUAGGGGUAAAAUCCUCUGAUCCAUUGAGGACCACCAGUGGCGAAGGCGGUCUGCCAGAACACGUUCGACGGUGAGGGAUGAAAGCUGGGGGAGCAAACCGGAUUAGAUACCCGGGUAGUCCCAGCUGUAAACGAUGCAAACUCGGUGAUGCA